Molecule: long non-coding RNA, 515 nt
Organism: Pieris napi
Lineage: Eukaryota; Metazoa; Arthropoda; Insecta; Lepidoptera; Pieridae
Exons: 4
Source: RefSeq, a predicted model, not a curated record
AAAAUCAUAUAUACUUUAUACACGAUGAGCGAUGUCCAAGUUAUAAAAGCGCACGCGCAUGUAACCUCUUUGCAUUUGGUGUCGUUUGUCCCAGGGCUGAGCCAGGGCGCCUGCUGACUCGUGGCCUGCGACCGCCUGGCAUUGAGGAAUGCCGCCGGCAGCAGGCCCGCGACCCGAUGUGCGACCGCCACCGUGGGUCUCCUCACGGCCGGACGAUCACUUCACUGGCACCGCACCGCUGUCGUCGCUCCUCUGCGAGAAACGAUCACGUAGUGCCUAGUUAGAUACUUAGUUAGGACUUUUAUGAACCUGUAACAAUAUUAAGAGGCGCAACCUGACCAAGGACCUGGAAAAUAUCACUAUAAACUAUAUACACUUUCGCGAUAAUAGAUUAAGACAUUAUUAUAAAUGGAGAGAGACUUUUUUUUAAUUACUUGUUAAACUCAAACGUAUUCUGAUGUAAGUUUAAGAAACAUUUAGAUUUAGUUUAAAAUUAAUAUAUUUUAGUUGUGUGC